RNAcentral lists this ribosomal RNA (404 nucleotides) under Actinomycetes bacterium. RNAcentral describes it as "Actinobacteria bacterium partial 16S ribosomal RNA". It matches the Rfam family "Bacterial small subunit ribosomal RNA", at positions 355 to 776 of the family's 1533-position model. Lineage: Bacteria; Bacillati; Actinomycetota; Actinomycetes. The record is from RNAcentral.
UGGGGAAUAUUGGACAAUGGGCGCAAGUCUGAUCCAGCCAUGCCGCGUGAGUGAUGAAGGCCCUAGGGUUGUAAAGCUCUUUCACCGGUGAAGAUAAUGACGGUAACCGGAGAAGAAGCCCCGGCUAACUUCGUGCCAGCAGCCGCGGUAAUACGAAGGGGGCUAGCGUUGUUCGGAUUUACUGGGCGUAAAGCGCACGUAGGCGGACUUUUAAGUCAGGGGUGAAAUCCCGGGGCUCAACCCCGGAACUGCCUUUGAUACUGGAAGUCUUGAGUAUGGUAGAGGUGAGUGGAAUUCCGGGUGUAGAGGUGAAAUUCGUAGAUAUUCGGAGGAACACCAGUGGCGAAGGCGGCUCACUGGACCAUUACUGACGCUGAGGUGCGAAAGCGUGGGGAGCAAACAGG